This 665-nucleotide ribosomal RNA is filed under the name uncultured bacterium. Its description in RNAcentral is "bacterial SSU rRNA". It matches the Rfam family "Bacterial small subunit ribosomal RNA", at positions 193 to 840 of the family's 1533-position model. The record is from RNAcentral.
UCUAAGGAUGAAAGUGGGGGAUCGCAAGACCUCAUGCUCGUGGAGCGGCCGAUAUCUGAUUAGCUAGUUGGUAGGGUAAAAGCCUACCAAGGCAUCGAUCAGUAGCUGGUCUGAGAGGACGACCAGCCACACUGGAACUGAGACACGGUCCAGACUCCUACGGGAGGCAGCAGUGGGGAAUUUUGGACAAUGGGCGAAAGCCUGAUCCAGCAAUGCCGCGUGAGUGAAGAAGGCCUUCGGGUUGUAAAGCUCUUUUGUCAGGGAAGAAACGGUGAGAGCUAAUAUCUUUUGCUAAUGACGGUACCUGAAGAAUAAGCACCGGCUAACUACGUGCCAGCAGCCGCGGUAAUACGUAGGGUGCAAGCGUUAAUCGGAAUUACUGGGCGUAAAGCGUGCGCAGGCGGUUUUGUAAGUCUGAUGUGAAAUCCCCGGGCUCAACCUGGGAAUUGCAUUGGAGACUGCAAGGCUAGAAUCUGGCAGAGGGGGGUAGAAUUCCACGUGUAGCAGUGAAAUGCGUAGAUAUGUGGAGGAACACCGAUGGCGAAGGCAGCCCCCUGGGUCAAGAUUGACGCUCAUGCACGAAAGCGUGGGGAGCAAACAGGAUUAGAUACCCUGGUAGUCCACGCCCUAAACGAUGUCUACUAGUUGUCGGGUCUUAAUUGACU